CACAGAAGGAGGAGCUUCUGAACAUUCAAGACACCACAGAGGAGGGAGGGACUGCCUUGCAUGGGAGGGAGCUCCCCGUCACGAGAGGGAAGCAAACAAGGCAGCUGGAGGAGACCCUUCGUGGGACGGCUGCAGGGGACAGAUGGACGGACAGACGCUGCUCCAGGGCGCUGCAACUUCAGACCCCGUGCAGCACAGGACCUGGCCCCAGCACUUGCUGCCACGUCACCUCCCUGCUGCCUCUGUCAACACCCUGGGAUCACCCCUGUCUGCGUCUGCGGCUUCCUGAGGAACCUCCACGGGCGCCACAAGUCUUCGGGGCUUUUCAAGUUGGUUCACACCCAUCACUUCUGACUCCAUUGGCUCUGACUGGGUCUGGCAGGCAGCAGUGCUGUUCCCAUUUCACAGAUCGGUAAAUGAGACUCAGAGAACCAAGCCCAGGUCACACGGGUCAGCCUCCAAAGGACGUGAAGCCUUGCAGCUCAGUCCAUAGACAACUGACAGGUGAGAGACAGGUGAUUCACCAGGGGCGGGCACGGGGGAGGCCCACGCAUAAUCACCACUGUGGCUGUCAUCACCUGGGUAAAGGCUGGGUCUUACCUUCCGAGAUAAUCUUCAUAAACACUCCCCAAGGCUCACGCGUUGCUAAGUUUCCUCUUAUGAAGGAAAUGGCCCAGAAAAAUCUUCCUUCCCUCUAAUUAAUUCUGUAGUCUCAGAAAGCUGAGUCAUGACUUGGGUAUGCCUGACCAUGUUCCCUCCGCUCUGAGACGGCACAGCGACUGAACAGGUGAUGCAGAAGAGCUACGGUCUCCCCU
Molecule: non-coding RNA, 815 nt
Organism: Oryctolagus cuniculus (rabbit)
Lineage: Eukaryota; Metazoa; Chordata; Mammalia; Lagomorpha; Leporidae
Source: RefSeq, a predicted model, not a curated record